Molecule: long non-coding RNA, 369 nt
Filed under: Coturnix japonica (Japanese quail)
Lineage: Eukaryota; Metazoa; Chordata; Aves; Galliformes; Phasianidae
Description: lncRNA (ENSCJPG00005003688.1)
Source: RNAcentral
UUUUCAUGAAUUAUUCAUGAAUAACUCAUGGAAAUGCAAGGUUUAUUCAUGCUCCAAAAAACCCAAGGCUUUUUUCCUCUUCUCUUCUGCAUUCUCUCCCUGUAAGAAACAGACCUGAAACAAGCUAAGGAAUGUAUAUAUAUAAUUGAGGACAGCAGGUGGGAGCUUUCUAAGCCAGACAAAGGAGACCUGACAAGAAACUGCAGUGAAAGGACAAACCCAAGGCAAAGGAAUGUCCGGUCACCUCCUUCCCUGGAGCAGGCAGCUGAGAUCUGCAUAGACAGGAAGCAUUUUGCAAGACUCAACACCUGGAGCAGUGCUAACCAGGUCUCACUGCCUCAGGUAGAACUCCAUUUGCAGAGCAUUCCU